UGUGCUCCACCUUCAAUCCAUGUUCAUGCUUCUUCCAACUAGAUUCAUAAGAAGGACUUGACAUGUUUGUUGGGGUCCCAACAUCAAGCCCCAUUCUGUUGCUGAUAGAAGACAGAGCGACUGAACUGACCAAGUGAGCUGUGGUGCUCAGGCAAGACACCUUGCAAUGUGGAGAUCCUGUGAGCUCAGAAAGUGCUACAGCAGCCCCAAGUGAGGUGAACUACAGAAAAGUAACCUGUGCAUUAUCAGCAGCAUCUAACAUUCUGCUGACUGCUUCUCCAUGCAAUUUUGGAUGGUAAAGAGGAGGCUUCAAGGCGAUCUUUUCCAGAUGUUUGGCAUCCUCUUGGAAACUUGAAGACAAAGCCUGAGCCUUAAAGGAUUUCUGAUAAACUCUUCCAAGUACACAGGAGGAUUCUACAUGCCAGAUGCUGUGGUCCUUGUAAGAUCCAUCCAUGCCAGCACAGGAG
Molecule: long non-coding RNA, 467 nt
Organism: Mus caroli (Ryukyu mouse)
Lineage: Eukaryota; Metazoa; Chordata; Mammalia; Rodentia; Muridae
Source: RefSeq, a predicted model, not a curated record